This 373-nucleotide ribosomal RNA is filed under the name uncultured organism. RNAcentral's name for it is "partial 16S ribosomal RNA". It matches the Rfam family "Bacterial small subunit ribosomal RNA", at positions 527 to 896 of the family's 1533-position model. The record is from RNAcentral.
GUAGGUGGCAAGCGUUGUCCGGAAUUAUUGGGCGUAAAGCGCGCGCAGGCGGUUCUUUAAGCCUGAUGUGAAAGCCCACGGCUCAACCGUGGAGGGUCAUUGGAAACUGGAGAACUUGAGUACAGAAGAGGAAAGCGGAAUUCCACGUGUAGCGGUGAAAUGCGUAGAGAUGUGGAGGAACACCAGUGGCGAAGGCGGCUUUCUGGUCUGUAACUGACGCUGAGGCGCGAAAGCGUGGGGAGCAAACAGGGAUUAGAUACCCUGGUAGUCCACGCCGUAAACGAUGAGUGCUAAGUGUUAGGGGGUUUCCCGCCCCUUAGUGCUGCAGCUAACGCAUUAAGCACUCCGCCUGGGGAGUACGGCCGCAAGGCUG